This 494-nucleotide unclassified non-coding RNA is filed under the name Bombus terrestris (buff-tailed bumblebee). RNAcentral describes it as "misc RNA ENSBTSG00005038038.1". The record is from RNAcentral. Lineage: Eukaryota; Metazoa; Arthropoda; Insecta; Hymenoptera; Apidae.
UUUAUUGGCUUCUUUAUUUUUUUCGAGGCUUUCCAUAGGGAGUAGUUGAAGUUCUCGUGUGCAGAGAAUGUCUCUAUGAACUUUGUGAAUUCGUUAUUGUUGUACUCUUUUAUUUUGUUUUUUAUUUCCUUUGCAAGUUUGUUUAGGUGUUUUUUGUUUUCUCGUGUUCUAUGUUUUUGCCAUUUUGCUUUCGCUUUUCUUUUUUCUCUAAUUUUUUCAAUUUUGUCCGGCGUGGGAGCUGUCCCGCUACACCCUGCGGCAAGUCAUAGGCGAGAGACUGACCCCCUCAGCGAUCGUAGAAGCGAUGCUGAGCGGGCCACAGGAAUAUAAGGCUGUCCGCCUCUUCUGCCAGCGAGUUAUGCUCGCAAAGGAGCGAGCAGAAAGGGAGAAAAAGAGAAACUCUCACCCUUGUAGGAUAACGCAAUGGAGGGGGAUGGCGGUCAGGCGGCCUAGAGCCGCUUUAUCGCCGCCACAACGGACCGCGACUAGAAGGG